AUUUCCAAGACGGGGGGAUACGUUGCAGAUUUGCGACUCUCAUCUCCUUUGACUGCUAAUGGAGGUUUCUUUUACGAAAGUUCGAGCAAAGAAUAAGCUGGAAUACAAUCUAGUAUGGUAUUCGUACUCGUAACCUUUAGAAAAUAAGGCAAUAAGAGGAACGAAGAAAACGCUGGCAAAUGAACAAAGGCGCCAUUGAUUACGAGCGACUCGCGUAACUCACUGGAAGUCGAAUUUUGCAUGGUAGUUUCAGGUCUAGCCAAUUUUCUCCAAGUUAAAGUAGUCGAUCAGUUGGAUCAUAACCUUCGGUUUGACGGAUUCUCAGGGUUACUCAAUCUCAUUUAGUCGACACUUUCUUAAAACUUUACACGUGCAAAACAUUAAAACCAAAAUUAACGUCCUGCUCAUGUACGGUGUACGUGGCGACCGUGGCACUCGCGUUUGUGUUCCUUGCCAGCGUUUCGUCGUUUCUUUCGUUGCUUAAUUUUCUAAUGGGUACCAAUACCAUACUUGAUGGUAUCCCAACUUAUUCUGUGCUCAAUCUUCCGUAAACCAAACCUCUGCUUGCAAUCAAGAGAAGAGGGUUAGAGAUAUGCAACGCGUCCGGGUGUCAUAUUGGAAAUUUCAGCUAAACUAAGAUUCAUUACGAACUUGAAUCGGUCCCUUUGAAAGACCUUGGCUUUUCCAAAUGUCUUUCCCUGUUGAUGUUACAUGAGGUCAGUAAAGGGGUCAGUAGGGGGUCAGCUGUCCUGGGGAGUCAGUGUUUGGUCGAAACCCGCGAAAAACGUGAAAGAGCGCGUUCUUCUUCUCUUCCAGUCUCCCCUUCUUUCAUUCGCGCUCUCCCACCCCCUCCCCCAUUUUAGGCCAAGCUGGAGAUUUUUUCAAGCGGUCUCGUCUCGAGGGUAGAGGGGUAGGCCAAAUCAAACUUAGUACACGCGCAAGGACCCAUGGGGAGACACAAUGGUUCGCGUACACAACGGCCUGUAAUUAUAACUUCGUUGGUUGCUCACCUCGUUGAGACUUUCGCCUGAAUAUAAAUGACCAUCAAUAGAGUUUAUCUUCGAAUGGCUAGGGGAUGUUACUCUUUCGAAGCUGAAAGCUACAUUUUAAGUUUGAGCCCAUCAGAGCAAGAUUGAUGUUCAAGAGCGUUUUCAAUACUUGGACGCAUAAUUGGUUUGCAAGAUGUACGGCACUGUUAAUACUCUGAAAAGGGUAUUACAUUGCACUGGGCUGUCAAGGUGUUAUUGCUCUCCUGUCAGGAAAGUUGUCAACCAGGUCAUGAAGUCAUUAGGACGUGAUUUUAGCUAACGACGCCCGGCGAAGAUGGAACUGGAUAUGGAAAUUAACACACUUAUUUAAAACGUUUUGCAUGAGGUUGGCCAGAUUGUCAAAUUCCUUGUUUAAAGAAGAUAUAUUGAAGCUCGCUGUAGAAUGCAGAUUAUGAGGAUUUUGAGAAAACAGCAGCAACACAAUGAGAGAUUUGGAAACUGAGAUAAGGAACUUUCGUUUUUUCCUCGAUAGUCGACAACCUAGGUUUGAACAGGCUAACGAAAGUAUUUUCACAGCAACAGUUGCUUUUAAUAAGUAUGUCUAAAAAUAUAAGUUACUGUCUUAAAUCAUAUUGCACGAGAUUCAGUUGUUUUCACGAAAACUGAACUUUCUUUAUCUAGUACAAAUGUAACUACAAUUCCAUAUUUAGUUGCAAUUACUACAAAAUCAUUUUUCAACUUUAUUGCAGUUUGCCCAUGGAUGGCACUAUUAAACUGAAGUGUUCUAGUUUUAACUAUAAACUGCAACGUAGAGCGCGUGAUUUGAACUGAUUGAUUGCCCGCGAGUGUACCCGCCUGCCAUUUAUAGCAUAUUUUGAAAAAUCCUAGACGACUGACAAAGUUGGGCAUACGAGAGUUUCUGGGCCUGGUUGCCUUUCUGUUUUUCAGAGGGCGGAAACUUCUAGGAUUAAUUUAGGAUAAAUCAAGGAUUUAUCUAGGAUUUAAUCACUAUAAAGCGCUUAGGAAAGCAAUGCAUAAGCUAUUAAAUUUUAUUUGUAAAUUCAUUUAUCGAGUAAGACAUUGCUUUCAACGUAUAUAUUGAGAGAUAUUACACUGAUCAUAGAAACGCUGGCAUUAGUACUUUCUUGGUAAAGUGAUCAUGCUAGCCUCGUACGUUAACCGAUAAAGUUUGGCUUCCUUUGAAUGGAAAGAAACCUCGAAUGUACAAGAAGGGGAGUGAGACCAAACACAAAUUGAAAAACAAACCCGAAGAUAUAAACUCAGAUUUUCAGGAUGUCACGUGAUAACUGUAGCGGAAACUCUCAUUAUUCUUCAUUUAACGCAAAUGAAACGAAAUUAAUUUGUUCUUCGUAACCACAAGAUAUAUUCUGCUCACGAAUUUCACCAAAGAGUGAGGACUAUUCUGAGAUUUACAAUUUCCCUUUGUUUCAGGGCAUUUAUUUGCCGUUGUUGUAGCUUGCGUUAAAUCCCUGAUAUUUAUUCUUUUUUUUCUUUCAACUGGAUAAAUGGGUCCCCCUUCUAGCACAAUCAUCGACAGAACGUACCUUGAUAUAAAUAGCCGAAAAUUAACUACCCAAAAUUAUGAUUUUGUACUCGGCAAUUGACAGACCAAAACUGAGAUAGAAAUGACACAUAGCAAUAUGAGACAUACUUAACGACAUACAACUGAUGUCUUUUCAUUUGAUUCGAAUUCAUUUGAAAGUUUGGAGAAAAUUGAGAAAAUCUGAAGAGAUUACUUUAUGUGAUUAAAUUAUAGUUCAUCAAAGCUUUUUCCCAUAAAUCAUUGACACAUUUCAUGCACUUUUAAGAAAGGCUAGCGACAUUGUCCAUUUAUGUUUACAAAAGGAAGUUCUUAACGUCUUCAUAUGUUCUUAGUUCAAUCCAUUGUUUUGACUCAAGUGACAUGUUUUUUUCAAACAGUACAACAUCGGUAGAGUGUUUGGAGAUUUAUAAAUAAACACUGAAAAUGACUUGCAUUUAAAUUGCACUUUGUUUUGCUUUAAUUGCUUUGAGAGCAGCUGGGAAGAACGAUUCUUUGCUGUUUAUAAACAUGGCAGCAAAUGAUCUAGCGUAUACAUGCUAAAGAAUCGUAACAUCUUCGAAAAUUUCAAGUACACUCGAAAAUGCGUGUAAAAAAUACUUACGACAAUGUAACACAAAUUCUUUUGUAAGCUCUCGUUCAUAUGUCAGUUGUGUAGAUGUGUGUGUCCCUAGCUUAGAAAAUAGGCAACUUUAAAGGUUUUUAAAUUCAUUGUUUACAAAACUUAGUUAAGCCCUACUCCAUUAGUUUUAUCUAAAUUUGCAUAGAGAAAAAAAGGAACUUCUAUAACAUAUAUUAGUCCUUAUACAUUGCAGUUAUUUUAUUCGGUUGUGUCACAACUGCAUGUACAAGAAGCAGGACUACUUUUUACCUGCUCUUCUAACAGGCGAGAUCGAGAAAAAGCCAACAUGAACGUUAUAAAUAUGUUUUUACAACGGGUAAAAUCUGGUAUUCUUCAGUUCGUCGAAUUAUCAUUUGAGGUUACUCAAAAUAAAACUUCACAGAACAUGUAUGAAAAUCGGGCGGUUCUAUAUUCUAAAGCGCGGUCUCCUCAAGGUUAUUUGCGAGAAGGCUCUUUUCAACUGAACAAAGUAAAAAAGCAACUUUCUUGAAUCGAUAAACUAUGCGACACAUAAUAGAAUAAAAUCAUUCAGUGCAAAUAAUCGUUUGUUCACCUUUCUUAGUAAUUCCUUGUACCUUCCUGGUGUCAAUCAAUAUGCCAGAUAUCACAUCCCAUCCCUUGAAAGAGGAUAACAAGAAAAAUCCGUGUGUGCUUGCCAGGGUAACAGAGCGAAUCCAGUAACAGUGAAUCAAGAGUGUUCCGGUUUCGCUUUAAAUGCUACUGCGCAUGUCAGUAGAGACGUUGUGGGAGUUUUGCUUACACCCUUCUCCUACGCAUUAUUUCGAAAUUUUCAUGCAAAUUUUAAUCCAGAAAUGACGUCCCGAAUAAAACCUUUUACUCCAGCCAAAGGCUAUUUUUGACCUGCAAACAACCGUUUCCUCUUCACAAGCAGUUCCUCUGCUUAAUUGCUGGUUUCUGUGUUCCAAGUUUUGAUUGGCCGCGCCAGAGGACCUUUGAAGUGUUUGUAAAUAACGCGCGUGAAUGUCAUUUGUCUGGCGUCAGCUUUAACGCGAAUUUAUUUGAACCACUAAAGCUAAAAGUCUAACACGCACAGAAAACAAUAGUUAGAUGUUGAUGGAUUUAGCAAUGCUGUUUUUAUCAGUGCAAACAAAUCGUAUUGCAACUUUAACACAAGCCAGCAGUUUCAUUACGUCUUUAAUUUAAGUUCAUACAUUUUAAUCCACCUGAUUUUGCAAUUACACGAAGAAGUGAGAAUGAUUUCAAAUUGUCAGAGCUAUUUCCCUCGGGCAAUAAGAUGAAUUAGAAGGAACUUGAAAAAUCAACGGUUGAAUAAAUAAUGUUCAGGUGUUAGUACAGUUAUCUGGAAAUACGUUAAGUAAGCAGACACGAUUGAAUCCGCUUAAUAGAAGAUAACCUCCGAACAAGGCCACUUAGUAUAUGAGAGAACAUAACGACACGGUUUCAACAAGCUGCCCCUUAAAUUCUUGAAGGUCUAAGACUUGUUACCAUGACAACUGUUGGUAAUUGACCGUCGCCCCGAACUGGUCUGGCGACCGAACAUUUUUGCAGGUGCCUGAAAAACAGCCAAAAUGAUAACAAGCAAAUGGGUGUCCGUGUAAAAUGCAUACGUCGUUGAUUGUCAACCUAACGUCACAUGAUGACCUUGACAAUCAUAAGACAGGUGAUGCGAAAUGGUAAGAUGGAAAUGGUGAUGCGAAAGGACGAGCCCACCGAUGAAAAACAUACAUUUGCCACCAAAUUUUUCCAUAGCGAAUUUGAAAAGCGGAUGCUCUCAGCGCUACAUGCUAGCUUUCCCAGAGGGCAUAAAGUCAGUGUUUUUCUUGAAUUAUCUCCAAUUAACUAUUGGUGAAUUAACGUCAGCUUUUCAAAUUCGCUAGGUGGUUAAUUUACCUUCAGCAACUUUACAAUGAAUGCCUCUCAAAUUUCUACCAUCUCACUGAAUAAAACCGUUUUCAAAAUCGACUGUCAUCGAGUCUUUCGUGAGCCCAGGCUCAAGCUUCCCUUUACAAAGUGUCUGAGCCGCAGAGAGUGGAACGGUUUAUCUGUCUUUGCGUUUCCUCGGGACCGUUUUAAAUGUUUGAAAGAAUGUGUUUUUCUUGUGAUUCAAUUGUACCUUUGGUAUAACUUGGCAUUUUUCUUUGUUUCAUAUGUCAUGAUUAUAAUAUAAAUACCAUACACUUUGAGCUGGAGGGCGAAUCAACGACAAGUGAUAAUGUAUAGCGAUACUUCCUGGGGCGGAUACAGGAUUUUUGAGAAGCGGGGUUCCAGAUACGGACUGCCGAAGGCGGUUCCUUUGCAGGUGUCGGGGGCAUCUACGCCGGAAAAUUCUUAAAAUAUAUCGAGGUCCUCGAAAAUGGGGCGUUCUGAGUCAGCGUUUCAUAAUGUCUCAUUUGUUUUAAUUUAGGGGUUCGUCCGAGUCCCCCCUCCCGAACCCCCCUUGAUCCGCCCCAGAUUUCAGUUUACACUAAAGGGUCCUAGUAAGGGAUCUAUUUGUGCAGCGUUUUUUGUUUCCCAAUGUCUUCAGAAUUCCAGAUUUUAUACUGACUAGGAAAAACCGGUUUCCUACAGCACACGUGCUUUACUUGUUUCUGUUUUAUUUCCGGUAGGUGGUUAGAUUAUUGGCUCGUCACUCACUGCACCAUUUGUAACAGUUUGUUAUGACGGUCUUUGGAUAUUCGAUCGUAGUUAGCAUAUAUUUUUAAGAUCUUAUUUCUCCGUUUUCUAUUUAGUUUUAUAGUAAAAUUUCGAUUGAGAAGAUAAUAAUAAACACGAAAGACCAUGUUUCACCACAUUUCCAAACACGUCGAAGUUCAUGGGCAAUA
Molecule: long non-coding RNA, 5976 nt
Organism: Orbicella faveolata
Lineage: Eukaryota; Metazoa; Cnidaria; Anthozoa; Scleractinia; Merulinidae
Source: RefSeq, a predicted model, not a curated record